Molecule: ribosomal RNA, 433 nt
Filed under: uncultured bacterium
Lineage: Bacteria
Description: partial 16S ribosomal RNA
Rfam family: Bacterial small subunit ribosomal RNA
Source: RNAcentral
AACGAACGCUGGCGGCAGGCCUAACACAUGCAAGUCGAGCGAGGACUUCGGUCCUAGCGGCGGACGGGGGAGGAACGCGUGGGAACGUGCCCUUUGCUUCGGAAUAGCCCUGGGAAACUGGGAGUAAUACCGGAUGAGCCCUUUGGGGGAAAGAUUUAUCGGCGAAGGAUCGGCCCGCGUUGGAUUAGGUAGUUGGGGGGGUAAUGGCCUACCAAGCCGACGAUCCAUAGCUGGUUUGAGAGGAUGGUCAGCCACACUGGGACUGAGACCCGGCACAGACUCCUACGGGAGGCAGCAGUGGGGAAUCUUAGACAACGGGGGCAACCCUGAUCUAGCCCUGCCGCGUGAGCGAUGAAGGCCUUAGGGUUGUAAAGCUCUUUCAGCUGGGAAGAUAAUGACGGUACCAGCAGAAGAAGCCCCGGCUAACUCCGUG